CCGUGGUGUUGGAGGACGACGGUCAGUUAAUUCAGCGAGACAGGGCCAACAAUCCUGACGAGAAAGACACGACAUUCAUACGCCGGAUAAACGAAGACGGAGAUUUAGUCAUGAUCUGCCAAGUCGACGAUGCUUCUUGCACGCGCAUCUAUCAACGAGUUUCAUAGCCGACUUAGGAGGCCUGUUCACCAGUAAUGCAUGGGCAUCUUUGUCUCGUCAUGUAUAAUGACGCGAGAAUUCAUGUUGACAAAAUAUCAGCACCCUCAAUUCUCGCUUCUCGUGAAAUAAGUUGUUCUUGUAAAUAAAUAUAAAUAAAUGUUAACAUCAAUAUUGAGUUCAACAAUAUUUUGUCAGUAUUUUGAAAAUGGAGGCAAGGCAAAUUAUUCAAACAUUUUCUCAAGGCAGUGCAUAAAUCCUUCUCCACAUAGGCUUUCAUUCCAAUCUGGUUACCAAGGUGGAUUUUAAGGGCUUUUAAUCUUUAGAGUUUCUUACAUCAUUCUAGUUUAGUAGAUAUCCCUGGCCCAUAUGCUUAAGAUGACAUUUUAACUAGACGCGAUUCCAACCACUUGAAGUCAAAAUUGGAGUUAAUGUUAUUUGUAUGAAAUUAUAACCUUUUGAAAUAUUGGAUCUUGAGGAAACUUGUUUGUGUCUUAAAACGAUUCAGGAUUUUAACUAUGUUUAACUAUGGGAGGGGCGUGGCGCAAACAAAAUGUGUACAGCUUCAGUUCCCCCUCGACAUUUUUGUGUACCCCCAGGUACCCCCUCAAAAGUUUCACCCUAGUUACGCCACUAAGUGUGCUUAUGGGACCGCCCGGUGUACUGUAUUCUCAGUUUAAAGAAAUGGAAAUCGUCAUAAAUAUUUUGACAUAUCUGUAUAAUAUAUUUUUAAAGCUCUUGCAGGAGCUUAUACA
Molecule: long non-coding RNA, 911 nt
Organism: Patiria miniata (bat star)
Lineage: Eukaryota; Metazoa; Echinodermata; Asteroidea; Valvatida; Asterinidae
Exons: 2
Source: RefSeq, a predicted model, not a curated record